CCUACGGGGGGCAGCAGUAGGGAAUAUUGCUCAAUGGGGGAAACCCUGAAGCAGCAACGCCGCGUGGAGGAUGAAGGUUUUCGGAUUGUAAACUCCUUUUGUUAGAGAAGAUAAUUACGGUAUCUAACGAAUAACCAACGGCUAACUCCGUGCCAGCAGCCGCGGUAAUACGGAGGGUGCAAGCGUUAGUCGGAAUCAAUGGGCGUAACGAGCGCGUAGGCGGAUAGCAAUUCAGAUGUGAAAUCCUAUGGCUUAACCAUGGAACUGCAUUUGAAACUGUUAUUCUAGAGUAUGGGAGAGGUAGGUGGAAUUCUUGGUGUAGCGGUGAAAUGCGUAGAGAUCAAGAAGAACACCCAUUGCGAAGGCGACCUGCUAGAACAUAACUGACGCUGAUGCGCGAAAGCGUGGGGAGCAAACAGGAUUAGAUACCCGAGUAGUC
This 439-nucleotide ribosomal RNA is filed under the name uncultured bacterium. RNAcentral describes it as "partial 16S ribosomal RNA". It matches the Rfam family "Bacterial small subunit ribosomal RNA", at positions 338 to 795 of the family's 1533-position model. The record is from RNAcentral.